CAAGGGACUUAUCCCUGAAGAGGACAACCACUGAAAACCCUUAGUCCUUCUUUUAUUCCAAACACAACACUCAGGCACUUAUUGCAAAAGAUAGCCGGGACGAGGUCCAGAACAUCCAAGAAGCACGCACAGCAGGAUCUUGAAUGCCCUCCCUUGUCCUUAACAUGGCUGCAACCAUAUCUACUCAAAAGUAAGUCCUAUUGAGUUCUAUGGGGCUUAGUUCCUGUCGGGAGGAUGAGCUGGGCUCCUGGGGGGUUGUCAGAAGAGGAUUCAAAUGGCUGGCAGAGGGAGAAGGGAGGAACUUACCCUCUGUGGAGCGAAGCCGAAAC
Molecule: long non-coding RNA, 329 nt
Organism: Rhineura floridana
Lineage: Eukaryota; Metazoa; Chordata; Lepidosauria; Squamata; Rhineuridae
Exons: 3
Source: RefSeq, a predicted model, not a curated record